Pistacia vera is the source of this 2113-nucleotide long non-coding RNA. RefSeq lists it as uncharacterized. The transcript is spliced from 12 exons. The record is from RefSeq and is a predicted model, not a curated record. NCBI's taxonomy places the organism in Eukaryota, Viridiplantae, Streptophyta, Magnoliopsida, Sapindales, Anacardiaceae.
UCGUCGUCUUCAAUAUUCUAAUCUUCGCUUUGUUUUUUCGAUCGUCUUCAAUAUUCUUCGGUGGAAUUGUUGUGUCAGCAAUUUCCCCGAAGAAUAUUUGGUGAUGGGUGUUGAUAUCGUUUUUUCCCCUUUUUCUGGGUUUGGUUUAGUGGGUUCUGGUGCGGUGAGCCACAGAGAGAGACUUGUGGAACCCGAGUAUUUGGAGAUGGAGGAGAGAGUUCUAAGCCGUUGAAGGUUAUGUUUAGUGGGCCCGCCAAGCAUUAGACCGAUGCGAUUCCGAUUGGUAAUGGAGGACUUGGAGCCAUGGUGUGGGGUGGUGUUGCUUCAGAGACUCUUCAACUUAAUGAAAGCCUGGGAAGCUAUGGCAUUGGGAAGUAAUUUCAGCUUUCCCAUCUCUCUCAACAGAUAAUGAAAGAAGUAUUUGACUGAUGACCCUCGUGCCUGGGCUGUUGAUUAAACCUUUGUGUUUUAUAUCUAUACAAGUCAUUGCAGAUGGUGGUUGCUAAACUUUCUCAGUUAGAUCCUAGCAUCUUGAGAUGAUCCUUUCUUGAUAGGAGUAACAGGGAUCUUUAACUGAAAUCAGAUCACAGCUCUCUCUACUUUGGCUAUUGUUCUGCAAUUGGAGGGUCUAGAUUAAUUUUGGAGAUCCCAUUGCAAUGUUGUUGAAAUCACCAGUUCUUGUAAAUCUUGGGAAGCUAUAAAUGCGAUAAAAAUGGAGAGUUUCUAAAGCAUCUUAGCCCCAAGUUUCACAUAUAGUUAUGGAUGAUUUCCAAACCAUGUUUAGACUUCUCAAAUGCUGCAGCCACAACAAAAUGCAGUCCAAUGGAGGAAUAAAGCCAAAAUAAUACACAUAUGCUAGCAACAUGGUAUCCAAAUAAGUCAUGAGAUGUUUGGUGUUUCUUAUUUUGCCUCAUCUUGUCAAGAGGCUGCUUGUUUAUAUUGUAUGCAUACUAUUGAGGAUGGCCUUCCAGCGUUAUGAGCAGCAAUAUGACCAGAAUCAGGGGAAACAGCUGCAUGUUCUCUUACGAAACAGAGUUUUGGUAGAGUUACGGAUACCUCAUUUACAGAAUUCGUUUGAGCAAUGACAAGAAUCAGGAAAAAGGCGCUUUUUCUUACAUCAAGAGGAGUUUGGGCAGAAUCACUGAUGAUUUAUACGGACAAGUAGUGAGUUUUUCAUAUGAGUUUGAUAUCUUUUGCUCAUGCGAUGCGUCAAAAUCAGCUUGCAACUUUAGAUGAUUUGGCCAUUAUUUUGCACCCAAAGGCGCUACAAUAAAUUCAGAUCCUAGUCCAAAGUUGUUGACAUCAUCAGUUCUGAUAUUGCUUUUGCUCUGAUUUAAUUGUUGUAUAUAACUGUAAAAUUGUUCUUCUAAGUUUCAUUAAUUUGAUAUUUCCUUUCGUUACUUUGAAGAAACUGCAGACUUCUUAAUUACUGUGAAAUAGUUAAAAUCCAGUUCAUUGGCGGGAUGAUGCCAAAGUACAACAGGGAGGACAUGAUAUUCUUGUUUGCCUAAUCAUCAUAAAUCAGUUGACAGAAUAAAUUUGCCUCUCAGAAAAUCAUUCUUGCCUUUUAGGUCAUUUAUGUGAAUCACAGUCAUAAGAGUUGGGAAUUUACUUGUUCAGGACUACGACAAGAAAAGAGAAUGUACAAAGGUGGGAGAAGUGAUGAAGCAAAAUACUUACUCUUAAGGGAUGGACAAAUGCCUUGUUCAGAAAUUACAUGAACACGGAACAGUCUAGUAGACAUUGGACUCGAGGAGCAAGGAUGGAAUAGAACAAAGAAGUUAGGAGAAGCGAUUAAAGGAAAAAGUUAGAUAUCAAAUUCUUUUUUGAAGAAAUGAUGUUCAGACAAACUAUGAAAUAAGUAGUGAUGCAUGAUACAAGCUCAAUAGUUGGCAGAAUGUGGUCCUUCUUCCUUUUCUUUUCCCAUCAUCAGACAUAAAAGAAUGCUUUAUCACCAUACAAACUUGGAGGGGCAGCAGGUGGAAGUGAUUAUGAUCCUAAAGGAAAAAGUGAUAAUGAGAUCAUGCACUUUUGCCAAAGUUUCAUGAAUGAGAUCUAUAGAUAUCUGGGUUCCGACAAGUAUCUUCCAUCAGAAGAGCUGGUGUUGGCACCU